This 722-nucleotide ribosomal RNA is filed under the name uncultured Fusobacterium sp. RNAcentral describes it as "bacterial SSU rRNA". It matches the Rfam family "Bacterial small subunit ribosomal RNA", at positions 28 to 776 of the family's 1533-position model. The record is from RNAcentral. Lineage: Bacteria; Fusobacteriati; Fusobacteriota; Fusobacteriia; Fusobacteriales; Fusobacteriaceae.
GAUGAACGCUGACAGAAUGCUUAACACAUGCAAGUCAACUUGAACUUCGGUUUGGGUGGCGGACGGGUGAGUAACGCGUAAAGAACUUGCCUCACAGAUAGGGACAACAUUUGGAAACGAAUGCUAAUACCUGAUAUUAUGAUUUUAGGGCAUCCUAGAAUUAUGAAAGCUAUAUGCGCUGUGAGAGAGCUUUGCGUCCCAUUAGCUAGUUGGAGAGGUAACGGCUCACCAAGGCGAUGAUGGGUAGCCGGCCUGAGAGGGUGAACGGCCACAAGGGGACUGAGACACGGCCCUUACUCCUACGGGAGGCAGCAGUGGGGAAUAUUGGACAAUGGACCAAGAGUCUGAUCCAGCAAUUCUGUGUGCACGAUGAAGUUUUUCGGAAUGUAAAGUGCUUUCAGUUGGGAAGAAAAAAAUGACGGUACCAACAGAAGAAGUGACGGCUAAAUACGUGCCAGCAGCCGCGGUAAUACGUAUGUCACAAGCGUUAUCCGGAUUUAUUGGGCGUAAAGCGCGUCUAGGUGGUUAUGUAAGUCUGAUGUGAAAAUGCAGGGCUCAACUCUGUAUUGCGUUGGAAACUGUGUAACUAGAGUACUGGAGAGGUAAGCGGAACUACAAGUGUAGAGGUGAAAUUCGUAGAUAUUUGUAGGAAUGCCGAUGGGGAAGCCAGCUUACUGGACAGAUACUGACGCUGAAGCGCGAAAGCGUGGGUAGCAAACAGG